Molecule: transfer RNA, 77 nt
Filed under: Bacteriophage sp.
Description: tRNA-Met
Rfam family: tRNA
About the family: Transfer RNA (tRNA) molecules are approximately 80 nucleotides in length. Their secondary structure includes four short double-helical elements and three loops (D, anti-codon, and T loops). Further hydrogen bonds mediate the characteristic L-shaped molecular structure. tRNAs have two regions of fundamental functional importance: the anti-codon, which is responsible for specific mRNA codon recognition, and the 3' end, to which the tRNAs corresponding amino acid is attached (by aminoacyl-tRNA synthetases). tRNAs cope with the degeneracy of the genetic code in two manners: having more than one tRNA (with a specific anti-codon) for a particular amino acid; and 'wobble' base-pairing, i.e. permitting non-standard base-pairing at the 3rd anti-codon position.
Source: RNAcentral
GGCCCAAUAGCUUAACUGGUUAGAGCAGACGACUCAUAAUCGUUGUAGUGCAGGUUCAAGUCCUGUUUGGGCCACCA